RNAcentral lists this long non-coding RNA (518 nucleotides) under Neodiprion pinetum (white pine sawfly). RNAcentral describes it as "uncharacterized LOC124220738". Lineage: Eukaryota; Metazoa; Arthropoda; Insecta; Hymenoptera; Diprionidae. The record is from RNAcentral.
UAAUCCAAUCGCGUAGCCGAUUAAAUAGCCAACCAUUGCUACGACCGGAAGCCAUGAAACUCCCGUGAUGUCAGAACCGACAGCUCGAAGUUGAAAGUACAAGGCCUCAGCUGCAAGGAAAGGAAGAAUACUUACCGAGCGACGUACAGCCACAAGUAAUUCGUUGCGAAAGCAAUCAGCAGACACGCGAUGAACAAGGGCGCCGAGGUUACCAGAAGCGACAUUUUCCUACCCCACCUGUCCACUAUUGGAACGCCAACGACCGAUCCAAAGAUGCUACCGACGUACAUAAAACUAGCGAUCCAUGAUCCUUGGUCAGAUGUGAUCUCGAUGUCCGAGUCCUCGGCUUGCAAUUUGGCCAAAGAUGGUGAUGACCAUCCGGUGUGAAACCCGACUGAUACCAGGAUCAGUGAGCCUGUAAUCGCAAAGAGAUAAGAUGGAACAAGUUUUUCGUUAAACCACAAGCAAGAUCUAACAAACUUUGUUUACUGACUAUUUUUAAAAUAUUUGAAUAAUCA